This is a non-coding RNA of Podarcis muralis (Common wall lizard), 1647 nucleotides long. Lineage: Eukaryota; Metazoa; Chordata; Lepidosauria; Squamata; Lacertidae. The record is from RefSeq and is a predicted model, not a curated record.
UACUGCCCUAUAUCCUCAGGUCUCAGGGUGGUUACAACAUAAAAACACAAACUGCAAAAAAACACAGCAUGCUUUUCACUGCAUCACAUCAGGCAGAUAUCCAACAGGCUAUUAUCCUGGAAUAAGAGACGGUUGGUUGGUUUCUUUGUAGCUUUUUUAAUAAAUAAAAAAUCAGAGACCCUGCUCACAGUGGAUUGGGAGAAACUGGGGUUUGGAAGGGCAUAAUCUUUGCUUCCAACACCCCACAGGGCUUUCUCCUCUCUGCAUAGUGAAAUGCACAAAUGAAAGGCAGACUCUCGCCAAGUGGUGGAUCUGAGUUUUAAUCUCAAGGUCCCAGCAUUGCCUAAACAGGAGACUGGAAACAAGCUUAUACCUUGUGAUCGAAUGCCAAUUUUUUUUAAAAAAGACCUCUGUGGCUUUAAGAUACAAGACUCUUGGCGGGGGGGGGGGGGAGUUGGACCACGUGGUUUGGGCCCCAACAGAAGCUUAAUUCAGCCACUUCCUGCCAGAGUUGGGGGAAGCAGCAGCAGCAGCAGCUGCAAGGCACACUUCUGAACAUAGGAAGUUUGAGUCAGAUCGUUGGCUAGUAUAGGCCAGAUUGGCAGCAGCUCUUUGGCAUUUUGGGCAGAGAUUCCUGCCCCCACCCCUUGUUUUUCGAGAUCUUUUAAAUGGAAGAACCUAGGACCCAGGGAAACUGAGGCCAUUUUGCAUUCUGUGCUCCUGGAUGCAAAUGCAAAUUACAUUUCUGCACAUUUGACAAUUGCUCCCCAUUUCCUCUGCAGGCUGAUCCUCAGUGUGACCCGUCUGGCUUCCUUCCUUGCAACCUAAAUCUUCUCCAGAAUGAGAGGUUGCGCUUUGAAAACAUCAGCAUCUGUGACCUGCCUUCCUUGGAGGUCUUUAAGCAGAGGUUGGGCGGUCAUCUGUCGUGGAUGCUUUAGCUGAGAUUCCUGCAUUGCAGGGGGUUGGACUAGAUGACCCUCGGGGUCCCUUCCAACUCUACAGUUCUGUUUCUAUGCAAGCAGAACAUGGGUGCCUUAACCCUCUCUUGCUUGUGAUCCCCAGCAACUCGUAAUUCAAAGGCUCGGCCCCCCUCUGAUCCUGGAGGUGUGGGACCUUGGCAGACGGUCAAACAUGUCUCCUUUGGGCGCUGCCUCUGGUCAGAUAUUUACAUUCAACCUCGUAAUCUGACAUGAUUCAUUGUUUUAAGCGAAUGAAUCAAACUUCACUGAAUGACGGGGGUAUUAUUAUUUUCAUUUCUCUAUUUAUUUGGCUUGGACAGCUGAAGAUCCCUGAUGAAAUUCUUCAGAUACUGCGCCGCCAGAAUCCUCUGUUCAUGUAUUCGAGGUUUUCCCCCUGAAGACCGUCUCCCGUGGAUCGCGGCCCUGGGGUGCGUGUGUCUAGUCGAUGGAAUUGGAUUCAGCAUCCAGCCCCUCUUGCACAGAAAGUGUCAAACGGAGGAAGAUGAACUAGGCGUUGCGGGAGUAAACGUUGCCAUCUUGUCAAGACUAAAAUAAACUCCCCGUUAAUAAACGAGGUUGGGGAUUGGAAGAGAGCUUUUCGCCAUAAAAGGAGCCGAACGCUAAAAUUAUUGCCCCUGGAACCAUCGUGGGAGUAAAGAAAUUGUUUGUAUUAAAAAAAGGAAUGGUG